GGAAGGGUGGCAGAGUGGUCUAUUGCAGCGGUCUUGAAAACCGCAGGGGUGCAAGCCUCCGGGGGUUCGAAUCCCUCCCCUUCCGCCA
RNAcentral lists this transfer RNA (88 nucleotides) under Paramagnetospirillum caucaseum. RNAcentral's name for it is "Magnetospirillum caucaseum tRNA-Ser". It matches the Rfam family "tRNA". Rfam says of the family: Transfer RNA (tRNA) molecules are approximately 80 nucleotides in length. The record is from RNAcentral. Lineage: Bacteria; Pseudomonadati; Pseudomonadota; Alphaproteobacteria; Rhodospirillales; Magnetospirillaceae.